This 82-nucleotide small nucleolar RNA is filed under the name Carlito syrichta (Philippine tarsier). RNAcentral describes it as "Small nucleolar RNA SNORD115 (ENSTSYG00000033646.1)". It matches the Rfam family "Small nucleolar RNA SNORD115". Rfam says of the family: HBII-52 is a member of the C/D class of snoRNAs, which contain the C (UGAUGA) and D (CUGA) box motifs. HBII-52 is encoded in a tandemly repeated array with another C/D snoRNA, HBII-85, in the Prader-Willi syndrome (PWS) region of chromosome 15. The record is from Rfam by way of RNAcentral. Lineage: Eukaryota; Metazoa; Chordata; Mammalia; Primates; Tarsiidae.
GGGUCAAUCAUGUGUACUUUAUAUUGCCUUGAGGAGCGGUAAUAACUUAAGUAUCAUGUACAAUGGCAUGACACUGAGUCCC